AACGAACGCUGGCGGCAUGCCUAACACAUGCAAGUCGAACGGUGCCUUCGGGCACAGUGGCGCACGGGUGAGUAACACGUGGGAACCUGCCUUUCGGUUCGGAAUAACGUUUGGAAACGAACGCUAACACCGGAUACGCCCUUCGGGGGAAAGUUGACGCCGAGAGAGGGGCCCGCGUCGGAUUAGGUAGUUGGGGAGGUAACGGCUCACCAAGCCGACGAUACGUAGCUGGUCUGAGAGGAUGAUCAGCCACACUGGGACUGAGACACGGCCCAGACUCCUACGGGAGGCAGCAGUGGGUAAUAUUGGACAAUGGGCGCAAGCCUGAUCCAGCAAUGCCGCGUGAGUGAUGAAGGCCUUAGGGUUGUAAAGCUCUUUCGCACGCGACGAUGAUGACGGUAGCGUGAGAAGAAGCCCCGGCUAACUUCGUGCCAGCCGCCGCCGUAA
This 447-nucleotide ribosomal RNA is filed under the name uncultured bacterium. Its description in RNAcentral is "partial 16S ribosomal RNA". It matches the Rfam family "Bacterial small subunit ribosomal RNA", at positions 29 to 523 of the family's 1533-position model. The record is from RNAcentral.